This 433-nucleotide ribosomal RNA is filed under the name uncultured bacterium. RNAcentral describes it as "partial 16S ribosomal RNA". It matches the Rfam family "Bacterial small subunit ribosomal RNA", at positions 29 to 507 of the family's 1533-position model. The record is from RNAcentral.
AACGAACGCUGGCGGCAUGCCUAACACAUGCAAGUCGAACGAGACCUUCGGGUCUAGUGGCGCACGGGUGCGUAACGCGUGGGAACCUGCCCUUAGGUUCGGAAUAACUCCCCGAAAGGGGUGCUAAUACCGGAUAAUGUCUUCGGACCAAAGAUUUAUCGCCUUUGGAUGGGCCCGCGUUGGAUUAGCUAGUUGGUAGGGUAAAAGCCUACCAAGGCGACGAUCCAUAGCUGGUCUGAGAGGAUGAUCAGCCACACUGGGACUGAGACACGGCCCAGACCCCUCGGGGAGGGGGGGGUGGGAAAGAUGGGAAAGGGGCGAAAGGCAUGACCGAGUAAGGCGCGGGAAGUGAGGAGGGCAUGGGGGUAGAAAAGUUUUUUUCCCGGGGAGAAAAAUAACGGUCCCGGAAAAAAAAGCCCCGGCAAACCCCGUG